Molecule: ribosomal RNA, 408 nt
Filed under: uncultured bacterium
Lineage: Bacteria
Description: partial 16S ribosomal RNA
Rfam family: Bacterial small subunit ribosomal RNA
Source: RNAcentral
GACGAACGCUGGCGGCGUGCUUAACACAUGCAAGUCGAACGAAGUGGCGAACGGGUGAGUAACGCGUAAUCAACCUGCCCUUCAGAGGGGGACAACAGUUGGAAACGACUGCUAAUACCGCAUACUGAAGGAGGGGAUUGCGUCGGAUUAGCUAGUGUGAGGGGUAAGGGCCCACCACGGCGAGGAUCAGUAGCCGGACGGAGAGGGUGAACCGACACAGUGGGACUGAGACACGGCCCAGAAUCCUACGGGAGGCAGCAGUGGGGAAUCUUCCGCAAUGGACGAAAGUCUGACGGAGCAACGCCGCGUGAGUGAUGACGGCCUUCGGGUUGGAAAGCUCUGUUAAUCGGGACGCGGUACCGGAAUAGAAAGCCACGGCUAACUACGUGCCAGCAGCCGCGGUAAUUC